GAUGAACGCUGGCGGCGUGCCUAAUACAUGCAAGUCGAGCGAACGGACGAGAAGCUUGCUUUUCUGAUGUUAGCGGCGGACGGGUGAGUAACACGUGGAUAACCUACCUAUAAGACUGGGAUAACUUCGGGAAACCGGAGCUAAUACUGGAUAAUAUUUUGAACCGCAUGGUUCAAAAGUGAAAGACGGUCUUGCUGUCACUUAUAGAUGGAUCCGCGCUGCUUUAGCUAGUUGGUAAGGUAACGGCUUACCAAGGCAACGAUGCAUAGCCGACCUGAGAGGGUGAUCGGCCACCCGGGAACUGAGACACGCUCCCGACUCCUGCGGGAGGCAGCAGUCGGGAAUCGGCCGCAAUGGGCGAAAACCUGACGGAGCAGGGCCGCGUGAGUGAUGAAGGUCUUCGGUUCGUGAAACUCUGUUUUUGGGUAAGAACAUAUGUGUAAGUAGCUGUACACAUCUUGACGGUACCUAAUCAGAAAGCCCCGGCUAACUACGUG
This 497-nucleotide ribosomal RNA is filed under the name uncultured bacterium. RNAcentral's name for it is "partial 16S ribosomal RNA". It matches the Rfam family "Bacterial small subunit ribosomal RNA", at positions 28 to 507 of the family's 1533-position model. The record is from RNAcentral.